Molecule: ribosomal RNA, 328 nt
Filed under: uncultured eukaryote
Lineage: Eukaryota
Description: partial 18S ribosomal RNA
Rfam family: Eukaryotic small subunit ribosomal RNA
Source: RNAcentral
CCCUUAGAUGUUCUGGGCUGCACGCGCGCUACACUGAAGCGUUCAACGAGUAUUUCACCUUGCCCGGGAGGGUUGGGUAAUCUUUUUAAAACGCUUCGUGAUGGGGAUAGAUUAUUGCAAUUAUUAAUCUUCAACGAGGAAUUCCUAGUAAGCGCGAGUCAUCAGCUUGCGUCGAUUACGUCCCUGCCCUUUGUACACACCGCCCGUCGCUCCUACCGAUUGGGUGUGCUGGUGAAAUGUUCGGAUCGGCCGUUUGUCGCGGUUUCCGCGUCAUGUGGCUGAGAAGUUCAUUAAACCCUCCCACCUAGAGGAAGGAGAAGUCGUAACA